Molecule: unclassified non-coding RNA, 403 nt
Filed under: Hevea brasiliensis (rubber tree)
Lineage: Eukaryota; Viridiplantae; Streptophyta; Magnoliopsida; Malpighiales; Euphorbiaceae
Source: RNAcentral
GGAGGAAUGACUCAAAAUCACCUUCCGAAGUCAAAGGAGUUGACUCCGGCGACGGUGACGGAGAGAGAGUCGAUGAUGAUGGAUCUCGAUUUUGAUAUUGACGCUUCAUGGUCCUUUGAUCAGAUUUUUGCUGCUGCUGCUGCGGUGUCGUCGAAUCCUGCGUCUCCGUUCCUUCCUUGUUCUCCUCUUUGGGCAUUUCCCGAUGAUAACGACGAAAAACCCGCCGGAAAUGGACUUUCCGGUGCUCUACGUAUCUCCGGUCACCCUAGAUUUGUAGCUUACACUGGUGAUUUAGAGGCUACAACUGAAACUAUCUCUGUCAACACUGAUAAGGGACGACUUACAUCACCAAUUUCAGGACUAUUACCUGGAGAUAAUCCAGAGGGGUCUUGUAUAAUCAAGG